Xylaria arbuscula is the source of this 105-nucleotide non-coding RNA. Lineage: Eukaryota; Fungi; Ascomycota; Sordariomycetes; Xylariales; Xylariaceae. The record is from the annotation of a GenBank genome assembly.
GGCAACGUGGCUGAGUGGUUAAAGCGUAAGACUAGAAUGUACGGAAAGCGUAUGUUUAGACAUCUUAUCCCUUCGGGGUCGUAGGUUCAAAUCCUGCCGUUGUCG